RNAcentral lists this ribosomal RNA (661 nucleotides) under Salmonella enterica. RNAcentral describes it as "partial 23S ribosomal RNA". It matches the Rfam family "Bacterial large subunit ribosomal RNA", at positions 165 to 867 of the family's 2925-position model. Lineage: Bacteria; Pseudomonadati; Pseudomonadota; Gammaproteobacteria; Enterobacterales; Enterobacteriaceae. The record is from RNAcentral.
CAUAGGUUAAUGAGGCGAACCGGGGGAACUGAAACAUCUAAGUACCCCGAGGAAAAGAAAUCAACCGAGAUUCCCCCAGUAGCGGCGAGCGAACGGGGAGGAGCCCAGAGCCUGAAUCAGCAUGUGUGUUAGUGGAAGCGUCUGGAAAGGCGCGCGAUACAGGGUGACAGCCCCGUACACAAAAGCGCAUGUGCUGUGAGCUCGAUGAGUAGGGCGGGACACGUGGUAUCCUGUCUGAAUAUGGGGGGACCAUCCUCCAAGGCUAAAUACUCCUGACUGACCGAUAGUGAACCAGUACCGUGAGGGAAAGGCGAAAAGAACCCCGGCGAGGGGAGUGAAAAAGAACCUGAAACCGUGUACGUACAAGCAGUGGGAGCACCCUUUGGGGUGUGACUGCGUACCUUUUGUAUAAUGGGUCAGCGACUUAUAUUCUGUAGCAAGGUUAACCGAAUAGGGGAGCCGGAGGGAAACCGAGUCUUAAUUGGGCGUUAAGUUGCAGGGUAUAGACCCGAAACCCGGUGAUCUAGCCAUGGGCAGGUUGAAGGUUGGGUAACACUAACUGGAGGACCGAACCGACUAAUGUUGAAAAAUUAGCGGAUGACCUGUGGCUGGGGGUGAAAGGCCAAUCAAACCGGGAGAUAGCUGGUUCUCCCCGAAAGCU